This 410-nucleotide ribosomal RNA is filed under the name uncultured bacterium. Its description in RNAcentral is "bacterial SSU rRNA". It matches the Rfam family "Bacterial small subunit ribosomal RNA", at positions 9 to 421 of the family's 1533-position model. The record is from RNAcentral.
GAGUUUGAUCUUGGCUCAGAUUGAACGCUGGCGGCAGGCCUAACACAUGCAAGUCGAGCGGUAGAGAGAAGCUUGCUUCUCUUGAGAGCGGCGGACGGGUGAGUAAUGCCUAGGAAUCUGCCUGGUAGUGGGGGAUAACGCUCGGAAACGGACGCUAAUACCGCAUACGUCCUACGGGAGAAAGCAGGGGACCUUCGGGCCUUGCGCUAUCAGAUGAGCCUAGGUCGGAUUAGCUAGUUGGUGAGGUAAUGGCUCACCAAGGCGACGAUCCGUAACUGGUCUGAGAGGAUGAUCAGUCACACUGGAACUGAGACACGGUCCAGACUCCUACGGAGGCAGCAGUGGGGAAUAUUGGACAAUGGGCGGAAAGCCUGAUCCAGCCAUGCCGCGUGUGUGAAGAAGGUCUUCGG